This 492-nucleotide ribosomal RNA is filed under the name uncultured bacterium. RNAcentral's name for it is "partial 16S ribosomal RNA". It matches the Rfam family "Bacterial small subunit ribosomal RNA", at positions 29 to 507 of the family's 1533-position model. The record is from RNAcentral.
AGUGAACGCUGGCGGUAGGCCUAACACAUGCAAGUCGAACGGCAGCACAGUAAGAGCUUGCUCUUACGGGUGGCGAGUGGCGGACGGGUGAGGAAUACAUCGGAAUCUACUUUUUCGUGGGGGAUAACGUAGGGAAACUUACGCUAAUACCGCAUACGACCUACGGGUGAAAGCAGGGGAUCUUCGGACCUUGCGCGAUUGAAUGAGCCGAUGUCGGAUUAGCUAGUUGGCGGGGUAAAGGCCCACCAAGGCGACGAUCCGUAGCUGGUCUGAGAGGAUGAUCAGCCACACUGGAACUGAGACACGGUCCAGACUCCUACGGGAGGCAGCAGUGGGGAAUAUUGGACAAUGGGCGCAAGCCUGAUCCAGCCAUACCGCGUGGGUGAAGAAGGCCUUCGGGUUGUAAAGCCCUUUUGUUGGGAAAGAAAAGCAGCAGGUUAAUACCCCGCCGUUCUGACGGUACCCAAAGAAUGAGCACCGGCUAACUUCGUG